GCGGCACGUUAGUGCGAAAACUUCAAACCCCUCUCGGACGAGAGAGAGAGCAAAUCGCGAUCUUGGGUAGUAGUGAGUCUCCGAACAAGAUAGGUUUUUAACUCGUUCUAACUUCCCACGAUCUGUCGAAUGAAGCUCAAAACCUUCUUGUUUGGCUUUGAGAUUUGAUGGGAGAUACUUAAGACACUGAAUAGUGCAGUAGAAGUUUGAUAGGACUCACAUGGUCCUUUGGAGAAGAGUCAAGGCUUAUCUGCAAUUCUCAGUCUAUAGAAACCAACCGUUAAAGUACCAAAAAUAACUAAUGAAUUCUUUUCAAUCAUUAUUAGAAUUCAAGAAAAUAUUUGUUGUUACUUAUUUGCUUGAGAGUGACACUGAGGGUGUGUUUGUCACCCAUUAUUUGGGAAGAAUGUAUUAUGGAAUAGUGAUUGAUGUUGAAAUGUGUGGUUAAAAAAGAAGGAAAUGUUUUUGAUUUACGUGUAAUAUUAUUUUAAUGAAGAAUGUGUGGUUGAAAAUGAGUACCGUGGAAAAAAUAAUGGGAAAGAAUGAGAGAAAAUGAAUGACAAAUAGGGGCUGAAUGUUACUAAUUUCUAUAUGAUUGUUGAUGCAACUAUGUUUUAGAGAAUAGUAAUUAAUUACAGAAUUCUUAUCUGAAACUAAGGAUCUUUUCAUGCCAUCAACUAUAAUGAGAGAAACAAAUAACUUGAAAUAGAAGCUACUACUAGCUUUAGUAGUUAAGCUUGUGCAGUAGGUAUUUUGAUUACGUAACAUUUUUCUUCUGUGAAAUACAACUAAGUUCAAACAUUUUAGCCAACUACACAUGAAUAUGGACUUCAUCGAGUGUGUUGAAAUACUUUGACUAAGACCUAAUGGAGGUGGAACGCAAAGAUCUCUGUCAACUUCGAAAAUGGCCAAAAUUUAACCUCUUCACAAGAUGUCUGUGAUUGAUCAGAAUGUCUGCAUUCUAUUCAUGGUUAACUACAUUACUUGGUUUCUGAUCGGUAAAGCUUCACCGUUGUUCUUUCAUCCACUAGCAGUGGCUGCUUAUUUCUUCUUGUGUUUCUGUGGAAGAAGAUUCAUUUUUUAUUAUUUCCCAUGUAGCAGUGGCUAUAAUUUGUGCUGUCAGCGAUUGAUUCAUUUUCUCACAAAAUCUUUUAACUUCCCUGCUAUUACAUUUUGUGGUUAAAUUUAUCAUUCUAGCAACUAGAUUUUUUGGCUUUUUGCACACAAUGCUUUCAGAACUAGCACAUUGAUUUCUAUUCCAGUGAUAGCUUUAAGGGGUAAAAAUUAUUGGGAAGAACUAUUAUUUACUGCUCCAGCUGUAAGUUUCUGCAAACAUGGUAUUCAGUGAAUUAGCAGAAAUUGUUUAUUCUGCAACAGCACGAUUGUCAGCGCCAAAGUCUUCUGCUCUUUCGUAUAUGUGUUGUCUUGUAUUCAAUCUGGAUUUUCUUUAAGUUCCUCUACAGAUGUGUAUAGUUUCACGAAAGUUUACUAGAAGAGUUAUGAUGUGAUCUGUGCCUUCAAUUGGGAUUUGCCUGGUUUUGAUCGGUUCAUUUGUUGAUUGUCGAGGUUUCUAUUCUAUGGAACAGUUUUUAAUCUUCAUAGAGGUUAUAAUCUGAAUCAAUUUACAAUUGUACA
Olea europaea var. sylvestris is the source of this 1635-nucleotide long non-coding RNA. RefSeq lists it as uncharacterized. The transcript has 2 exons. The record is from RefSeq and is a predicted model, not a curated record. NCBI's taxonomy places the organism in Eukaryota, Viridiplantae, Streptophyta, Magnoliopsida, Lamiales, Oleaceae.